Molecule: transfer RNA, 75 nt
Filed under: Ixodes scapularis (black-legged tick)
Lineage: Eukaryota; Metazoa; Arthropoda; Arachnida; Ixodida; Ixodidae
Description: tRNA-Phe
Source: RNAcentral
GCUCCUGGUUAGCUCAGUUAGUAGAUCGCUCCACAGAAAUUGGAGAGGUCCCUGGUUCGAUACCAGGAGGAGGCG